UAGAAAAAUAAAAAGACCAAAAAGAUGCAUAAUGGAAAUGAUGAGCAGUUGCUCUGUUUGCUUACUUUCGAGUACCUAGCUUUUAUAUUAGAGUUCUUCCAGGAAUUACUAAAACUUACUAUCUUUGGGAAGCAUAAAACUAAUGUCUAGGUAAGAGAAAGGCAUGAUAUAAAGUUGAGCUGCUAUUUAUCUUGUUCCUACUACACUAAGUUCUGGAGAUUUAUUUUGAAAACUUACAAAUCACAUGAUGAGUUCCUAGCAUUACAACUACCUACCACAGCCAUACUUGCUAUAACAUGUUUUACUAUAUUUACAUUAAGUUUGAUCGAGCUGUGUAGACCCUUAGGAGCUUUUCAUGUGGUUAAAUUAAGAUAUUCACAUGCACACAUCUACUACACCAUCCAUCACCAUUCAUUAAAAUUGCUAAAAUUAUUAUCACUCACUAUCCCAAAUAUUGUUAUUCUCUCUCUAAAAAGUUUCAAUGCAGAAGAGGCAUGGGUUAUGCAAAAAUAUGCGAGGAAAUAAAAAGGGGCAAGUGCCCGGAACCUCAAAAAAGAAAGAAAAAGAGUGAGACGAGAGGUAAAAAUGGACAAGUGUUCGGAGUAGAAUUAGGGGUACAAAGAUGCCCACUUGAGCGGAAAAAAUGGACAAGUGUCCGACAGUAGAAUUAGGGGUAUCUACUACCCACCUGAAAAAAAAAAGAAGAAAAAGAAAGAAAAGAUAGCCCAUAUUCUCCCAAAGCAAAGAUCAGAGAAGAGGAGAGAUAACAAUAUGAGGAGCAAUGAGAACUAAGUUUUAUUAUCACUUAUGCAUUUUUACCAUCACUAUCUUUUUACUCCAUCACACAUGCACAUCUUGAUUUAAUUAUCUGCUGAGUUCCUUUGGAUCCAUGGCUCGAUUAGACAACAUAUGUAUGAGCUGUUUUUCACUCCUAUGAGAUCUACUUAAAUAUUCCAUUAGCUAUAGGUAAGUGACAUAUUGGUAAGGAUCCACAAAUACCACAUAUAGAGAGACUUGAGAGAAUCAUUGUUAGGAACUCUGAGUUUUAUUUUGAAAAACUUAUGAAAAACUCUAGAAUAAAGGUGAAGUAUAGACAGGAGGAAUAGUCCUUGACUUAAUUAUUUUGUCUUUCAAUUACUUAAGACUUAAGUGCAGGUACUAAACUCCAUAACACUUCACUCUAAUCUGGAAGAAUUUUUAUAUAAAAGCGUGUGUGCCUGUCAGGAAAGAAAACAUCGAAGCAACUCCUGAUCCGUCUGAGUUUAGCUAUUUGCUCACGGACGAGCAAAGGGUAAGCUUGGGGGAGUUUGUUGACGGUCCUUAAGUACUAAAAUUAAUAAUCAAAUAAACAUGAAAAAGGAUCAAUAUGAAACAAACAUCUAGAAUUAGGGUUUUAUCUGACAGAAUUCCACGGGCUUUGGUGUUUAUCUAUUUCUGCAGGGGGUUAUCAGAGAAUAUGGAGAGAAGGCCCACAUGUCAUGUUUACAACGAGAUAAUUACAUGCCGCGCAAUUUUCUUCAAUCUAGAAGAGUCCAGAAGCCACGGGAACGAACGAGAAGAGGAUCGGGCUCGGGGGCAGGGCGCCCGCCCACCGCCCUUGGGCGCCCGCCCAGGCCAGGAGUCCAAUCAGGACUCUGCUUCGGGGCUAAACUCCACUGACCUAAAGGAUCAAUCUAAACCACACAAUCAAUGUCGGUUUGAUCCGACGGCUCAAAUUCACUUGAAAGGACUAUAUAACCAAGGCCUCUCCCCCCUGGAGGAGAGAGGAGAAGAGAAGAAAUCAUUAUUCAGAGGUAGCCAUCAAAGUUAGGGUUUAGAGCUUCUCUCCCACAGAGAAUUAGAAUUAGCUACUCCCUAAUCUUUCAAGUUUAGAGGUUUGAUUAGAUAGCAAUUAGAGAAGUAGAGCACUACGCUCUGGAUUCGGAUCUUCGGUAAUAAAGAUUGGUAUUAUUCAUAUCUUUCUCUAAUUCUUUGUUCUAAUUGCAUUAUGUCUCUAAUUAUUAUGUCAUUAGUUUGUUCUAGUUCUAUAUUUGAUAUACAUCUAAUUGAUAAUGAGUUUAUGUAUAAGUUUGCAAAGCGCUUAGCUCUUGACGCGAGGGAGUGAGGUGAUAGAUCACAUGUGAGCGUGGUGCAUAGAUGUUAUUUAUCUGCAAAUGUAUCCUAUUGGCCGGGUCGUGUGGUAGUUCGCGAUAGUGACAGCUUCGUUGAUUCUUAUAUAGUCCACCCUCCGUUGAUAGGAUAGGCAGAACCGGUAUUGUGGAGUAAGUCUUGCGAUGCUUUGAUUUACUUUAGCAAUGUUCCUUAAACAUGAAUGAAGAGUCUUUUAUGCUAUAUAUGAUCUUGUAGAUAACUAGAGUAGAUUAUGACUUAGUAGUUAGUAGAUAACUUAGAAUCCAUUCUCUAGCUAAUCUGACAUCACCUACAUAUAUGAGGAGUAGUCUAUUUUCUAAUCGCUGUGUUAUUUAUCCCUUUAACUUCUAAUUCAUUAUCAUUAUCUUUAUGGUUUACCCCCUGCUAAAGUAAGUGACUGUGCGACGAGUUUCUCAUUAGUAAUCAUGUUCUUGCAAGUUUAUCUCUAGUCUAUGCCUUGAUAGAUUUUGCCCUUAAUUUAAUCUCCUUAGAUCCCUUGAGCAAAAUUAUAAAUAACGAUACCAGGAAUACUUAUCCUGGUGAAAUGCUACAAUGAGGUGUUUUAUCUGUGCGCUUGCAGAUAGAAUAGAUUAUUUUCUAAAGAGCCUUUACAUUUAUAAAUACCUUUGUACACUCUGGCACCAUGCUGGGGAUGACAACCUAGUAUCUAAGUGGUGUUAGCUAGUGUCAACAAAAUAAUCGCAUAAAACAGCUACUAAUUGAGAAAUCAUAACAAGGCACCUCUGCUUUGGCAGGUUCACCCUGUUGUUUUUCUAUGUUUAUAUUUUUAUAGAGGGUAUAUCAGGAUUGACUUUGGGUACAUUCAACUCUUCAUCAUCAGAACCAAAGCAAUCAAGAAAGAAAGAAAGAAGAAGCUAGCUACAAAUUGCUGAAGCUAUGGCACAGAAGACCCUACAAGAAUUCUCUGCUCCAAGUCUUGAGAACAUUCCAACUAGUCCAAGAUUUGUAGUAGAAGAAGGAGUACCCAAGUUUGAGCUUAAGUCAAGCCUCAUCAAUUUGGUGCAAGCUACACAAUUCAGUGGAAAGGCACAUGAAGAUGCUAGUGCACACUUGCAGAAUUUCUUAGAGAUUGGAAGCACAAUCCACAUCAACGGAGUCGACAAAGACGUCAUACUGCUUCGCCUGUUUCCAUUCUCACUAGAAGGAAAAGCGAGGAUGUGGUUCUACACUCAUCAAGAUAACAUCAACAACUGGACGAACUUGUCAGAUGCCUUUCUAUCAAAGUUUUUCCCUAUAGGCAAAACAACUGCCUUAAGAGGAAAUAUUGUCAGUUUCCAACAGCAGAAGAUAGAAACUAUUUCAGAAGCAUGGGAGCAUUUUCAAGGAUACAUAUCAGAUUGUCUUCACCAUGGAAUGGCCACAUGGUUACUUAUGCAGACCUUCUACCAUGGAUUAACCCAGAAGGCUCGUGAGUGCCUAGAUGCAUCUGCUAAAGGAUCAUUAUUGGAGCUUACAACUGGGAAAGCAGAGAUACUUUUGGAUAAGAUAGCAGAAAACCAAAGCUGGUUCCAAGAUAAGGCUCAACAAUGUCAUCAAACUGAAGAAAUACCAGAAGAAGUAAAUGCAUUAUCAACUAAGAUGGAAAAUUUGCUCCAUUGGAUUGACCAGAGGGCCAAGUUUAAAGAAGAUCAAAGGGCCAUCAAGACAGCAUAUAAAUAUCAAACCACUUCGAGUCAACCCAGUAGCAAAGGUAUGAAUUCAGGUAAUACUUUCAAGCAGCUUUCAUUAAAAGAGAUAAUUGCUCAACAGACCAAAAUUAAUGAUGAAGUUAAACAAAGACUAGAUACAAAUGAAUCAUCUCUAAAGAUAUACACAAUAAAAUGGAUUUUCUGCUAACUGCCUUUGAUGAGCAAAACACUCUUAAUAAAAGGGUAGAGCUUAAAUUAAUAAAGCUAGCUGCUGCACUGCCUGUUGCUACUAACAUUGAGCAGGUAAAGAACAUAACUACUAGAGGAGGCAAAGCCACCAGAGAUCCCCCAUACCCAAAAGAGAAACAAAGAACAUCAGCACUAGUGCAACCAGCAGUGAUAGAAGAAGAAAGCCCAGUUGAAGUAGAAGAUCUGCUACAACCACCAAGAACUGGAGAAAUGAGAAAAGAUUUUUACGACACCAACUAUUUGCCAUUUCCUAGAAGAAACAAAGGACUGCAGUCGGAUGAGCAGUUUGGUAAGUUUGUAGAGGUCAUUCAGAAAUUAUAUGUCAACAUACCUCUGCUGGAUGCCAUACAGGUACCUACAUAUGCAAAGUACAUCAGAGAUAUUCUUAACAAGAAGAGACCACUGCCCACCACUGAGGUUAUCAAGCUGAUAGAAGAAUGUAGUGCGGCCAUCCUCAACAAACCACCAAGGAAGAAAAAGGAUCCAGGAUGCCCCACUAUUGAUUGCUCGAUCGGAAACCAACACUUCAACAAUGCACUUUGUGAUCUCGGAGCAAGUGUCAGUGUGAUGCAAGCAUCAGUCUACAAAAAGCUUGAGCAUACGACCCUAGAACCAACAUCAAUGUGCCUGCAACUAGCAGAUCAAUCAGUUCGACACCCAUUGGGUAUCGCCAAAAACAUUCUAGUCAAGAUCAGAGAUUUCCUGGUGCCAGUAGACUUCGUAGUACUGGACAUGAGUCCUGACUCAAAAGUGUCCAUCAUCCUUGGAAGGCCAUUUCUGAGCACUGCCAAUGCCCACAUUGAUGUCGGGAAGGGAAAAAUCAUGUUUAACAUAAACGGAAAGGAAGAACACUUCACAUUUAAUCCCAGACCAGAGAGAGACUCUACAGUAAAGGAAGUUCAUGAAGAAGAACCACUGGGGACACCAUCUCCAGAGGAAGGUAAUUUAGAAGAUUAAAAGAUUUGGAGGUCCAGCUUGGGGGACCUAAAGAUCCCAAACCCUCGCCGAGAGGUAAAUCGGUAUUUGUCCGCAUCAUUAAUUCUCGCAUAAUUAAUUAUUGCAUUUAGUCAUAUUUAUUCAUAGCAUUAUUAUUAUAAUAAAAAUCCCCAUAUAAAUAAUAUUUAUGGUGUGUAACAACCCAUAUUUUAUUAAUUAUUGUGGAGGCACAAAAAUAAUUUUCCAUUAUCAUUUCAAUAAGUUUUAGUUCUCAUAGAUUUUCUUGCAUUAUAUUUAAUUAUAUCAACCUUCUAGAAGCAUGACCCACACUCCUUGAGUCCCACAUGUCAUACACCACACCUCACAUACAUCCCAUCACAUUAUUUGAUCCACCAACAUAUCUCCACUAACCAGCACUUUUCCACCGGCCAACCACCACCCAUGAUGCAUUAUUUUGCGUGAACAUUAAGCAAAGGAAGGAGUGGAGAAAGGGCAGCCAGGAUGGGCACCACAAGUGGGCGCCCGCUCACCUACCAAGGGCACCCGCCCUGCCCCCUCUUCCUCCUAUAAAUAGCCACCUUCUACCUCCAUCCUCUCCACACAAGCACUCCAGAAAACCACACAAGUUUCAGUUUCCAGAGAAGGAGCUCUUGUAGUGGAGUAAGAAGAGAGUAGAUAAGAAGAGAAGAGUGGAAAAGAAGUUGGUAGUUUUUGUGUGAGAGAGUGAGUUUCACCUAGUAAGUAGUGAUCCCGCUGUCCAAGCGGAAGUAAAAGUUGUUUAGGGGGAGGCUCUGCCAAAAUAGAAACUUGUCUUGAACGACUAACCCCUGGACUACUGACAUUCCGGACAGCUGACCACUAACAUUUUCUCUCACAUUUUCCACUAGUUGUGUUUUUGCCAACUUUUGUUUAUAGGAUGUUUAAGAAGGUAAAGAACGUAGGGAAGGCUCUCAAGAACAUUGGUACAAGGAGUUCAUACCGACACUCCUCACACCCAUCAGAGAUGAGCGUCGACCCGACACCCACACAAGCUCCGUCAUCUUCAUCUAAUCAACAAGUCAAGGUCCUUCUCAAGAUAGGAGACCUAGGACUGAAGACCCGAAGGGAGAAGGAAGUCUAUCAGCAACUCAAGAACAAAGAUUUCAUUCACACCCCUACUCUUGAUCCAAUCCUACUACAAGAAACAGGUAUGGACACUGAAUUCAACUUAAUUUUCCAGAUGAUAGGUUGGACAAAUCUUUGGAAUAUAACUGAGCUGGGUUCUCGUCUUCUCACCCUCGAAUUUCUUUGCACUUUACAAUAUUAUGAGGGGGGAAUUGUUUCGGAUGUUCAAACAUGAGAUUAUGUUGUCUUGGAGAGAACUGAGCGACCAUCUUAGUUUCUCUUCAAGAUGCAUCCUGAACAUUGACUCCGACCUACCUAACUUUGAGAGACACCAGUUUUGGAGAGAGAUAUCUAGAGAUAAUUUUUAUAGUCAAGCCCGAACCAGUGACAUGGAACACCCCACUCUUAGGAUGUUCCACAAAUGGCUUGGGUACAAUUUUUUCUAUCGUGAUGAUAUUAGGAAAGUAAGAGUAGGAGAUUUACAACUUUUAUAUGCUGCUAUUAAUAAAGUACCCACUUCACCUGUUACACUUUUAGUUUCUCAUUGGCUUAGUAUACCUAGUCUUCAGGGACCAGUAGGAUGUACUUCACUUAUCACUCAUCUAGCCUCUAAUCUUCACUUGCUAGAAAACUCGUCGUUGGACUUCAUAGAUGAGUUAAGAAUUUAUCAUGGCUAUGACACAUUUAGACAAGCUCGGAUGCUAAAGAAAGAGGGGAAUAUAAUGUAUAUGCUAUAUGAUGAUAAAGGCAAGAUUCAGUUACCUAACCCGAACCUUGGCCUCUACGUCGUUCAAAAUUUUUUAAUUGAGAUUGCAGCAACACCGGUGAAUCAGAGAGCUCCACAACGACUGGCAUCUGAAAGGAUGACCACCCAUCGAGAACGCACCUGGUAUGGAGCUGAUCCCGGACCAGAAGAAGCAACGCUCCUGCAUUAUUGCGACUACAACCUUGAGUUCUUCGAGACCCAUGGGUUCGACAUGCGCAACCACAAGAGCCAACACAGGAGACAUGGCCGGAGAGCCAAGAUCACCAGUGGACAAACCCGCCUUUUCAUAUGGGCAGGUACUCCACUGAUCCAUAUGGAGCAUCAGGAUCCAGACCUCUGCCCCAAUUUGAUGCAGGACGAUACUCCGACGCCUCCUACGCUUUCACGAAUGACUACUAUGAAGAGGCCGGUGCUUUCUUCACCCGUACCGACAAAACUCUCCUCGACAUCUAGAACACGCAAGUAGAACAUGGACGACUCCUGGAAAAACAGCAGAAAUGGAACCAGGACCAUGCCACUGCAGUACAAGAGCUGAGACAAGAUACCACAACAUUGAAUGACAACAUCACAACCAUGAUGCGGUUCUGGAACAUCGGGUAAGACCGACAUCAACAUCCAGCUUGGGGGAGUUCCCCCCCAUUUUAUCAAGUAAGUUUUUAUUUACUCUUCUUAUUUAUUCAUUUUUGUUUUAGUGUUUUAUUUUAUCUUAAAAAGAAAAAUUUCGAAAACCCAAUAAAUAUUUUUUUGCUUUAAUUUACUGCAUUUUAUAAACAUGAAAACAAAAUAAAAAGAGUGUGUAGAUAAGUGUGCUUUAUUUAUGUGCUAAGUGUUAAUCUCUAGAAAAAUAAAAAGACCAAAAAGAUGCAUGAUGGAAAUGAUGAACAGUUGCUCUGUUUGCUUACUUACAAGUACCUAGCUUCUAUAUUAGAGUUCUUCCAGGAUUUACUAAAACUGAAUUUACUAUCUAUGAGAAGGAUAAAACAAAAGUCUAGGUAAGAGAAAGACAUGAUACAAAGUUUGAGCUACUGUUUAUCUUGUUCCUACUACACUAAGUUCUGGAGAUUUAUUUUGGAAACUUACAAAUCACGUGAUGAGUUCCUAGCAUAACAAACUACCUACCACAGCCAUACUUGCUAUAAUACCAUUUACUUAUAUUCACAUUGAGUUUGAUCGAGCUGUGUAGACCCUUAGGAGCUUUUCAUGUGGUUAAAUUAAGAUAUUCACUUGCACACAUCUACUACACCAUCCACCACCAUUCAUUAAAAUUGCUAAAAAAUAUUAUUAUCACUCACUGUCCCAAGUGUUGUUAUUCUCUCUCUCUCAAAAGAUUUAAUGCAGAAGAGGCAUGAAUAUGCGAGGAAAUAAAAAGGGGCAAGUGCCCGGAACCUCGAAAAAGAAAGAUAAAGAGUGAGACGAGAGGUAAAAAUGGACAAGUGUCCGGAGUAGAAUUAGGGGUACAAAGAUACCCACUUGAGCGGAAAAAAUGGACAAGUGUCCGACAGUAGAAUUAGGGGUAUCUACUACCCACCUGAAAAAAAAGAAAGAGAAAAAAAUAGCCCAUGUUCUCCCAAUGCAAAGAUCAAAAAGAAGAGGAGAGAUAGCAAUAUGAGGAGCAAUGAGAAGUAAGCUUUAUCAUCACUUAUAAAUUUUCACCAUUACUAUCAUUUACUCCACCACACAUGCACAUCUUGAUUUAAUUACAUGUUGAGUUCCUUUGGAUCCAUGGCUCGAUUAGACAACAUAUGUAUGAGCUGUUUUCACUCCUAUGAGCUCCACUUAAACAUUCCAUUAGCUAUAGGUAUGUGAUAUUUUGGUAAGGAUUCACAAAUACCACAUAUAUAGAGACUUAAGAGAAUCAUUACUGGGAACUCUGAGUUUUAUUUUGAAAACUUAUGAAAAACUCUAGAACAAAGGUGAAGUAUAGACAAGGAAUAGUGCUUGACUUAAUUAUUUUGUCUUUCGAUUACUUAAGACUCGAGUGCAGGUACUAAACUCCAUGACACUUCACUC
Molecule: long non-coding RNA, 8844 nt
Filed under: Sorghum bicolor (sorghum)
Lineage: Eukaryota; Viridiplantae; Streptophyta; Magnoliopsida; Poales; Poaceae
Description: long non-coding RNA (SBIC_LNC006692)
Source: RNAcentral